Molecule: long non-coding RNA, 550 nt
Filed under: Homo sapiens (human)
Lineage: Eukaryota; Metazoa; Chordata; Mammalia; Primates; Hominidae
Description: HSALNT0087052
Source: RNAcentral
AUUAAAUUCCCUGUGGAUAAGUAAUUUACUAGUAUGGUAUUUCUCAGAGCCUCUUUUAUUAGGCAUAUCUAGCUUUGCUACUGACAGUUGCUGAGAAAAGAACAGCCUAUCUUUAUAAUUUGGGGUAGUGAGAGAAAUAACAGAGCCCUUUACCUCUGAGGACGUUACCUGGUGGCUUGGCGUCAUGAUAAUUGGGGCCUUCUGCUUUUUGGAGCUCAUUAUACCUUGGCCAGAACUUUUAGGACUAGAUUUUAAGUGUCAGCUCCUGGACCUGUAAGUCAUGUUAGUGAGAAAUGAGACAUGAGACAUCGUGUUUUUUUUUUUGUUUUUUUUUUUAACUGAAGAACUCACUUUUUAUGGCAGCUAAACAAUUCAAAGGAGGAUACUUUCAUUAUCUCAACUUCUUAUAAUGAAUGACUUGGAUCUCAUAAUUGCCCAGUUCAAGGAGAUUGGAACCACCUGGACCAUCUGGAUAUCCCACAGAAGACCACACUGACCCAUUAUUACACUGAUGAUAUCAUGCUGAUUGGGCAAGAGAAGCAAGAGGUAA